This is a long non-coding RNA of Diabrotica virgifera virgifera (western corn rootworm), 1514 nucleotides long. RefSeq lists it as uncharacterized. The transcript has 2 exons. The record is from RefSeq and is a predicted model, not a curated record. Lineage: Eukaryota; Metazoa; Arthropoda; Insecta; Coleoptera; Chrysomelidae.
UCGGAAAGGAGGUGUUCUCUUCACCAGUUGGUGGUUUUAAAGGCCGUAGCAUACCUAGAAGGGCGGUGAAUGUGGUUGGACCAAACCCUUUUUCAAUUAUUUGGACCAAAAGAGACCAAUUAUAGAAAAAACUCGAGAUAAUCUGAAUUGCGGCAUUAUUUUGAGUUAGUGUUUUCUAUUACGUUUCGCCAUGGUUUGACCAUGUGAUCGUGGUACCUUUUUGUAACAUCGGCUAUUUAUUUUAGGGUUUUUAUUUUGGGGGAAAACAGAUUUCCUGUAUACUUUUAUCUUUGAUGGGAGAUGUUUGCAUUUUGAUUAAACAUAUUGCAUAUUUUGCUGUAGUACUGUACUGGAGUUUUGGUGAAUGGUAGUUUCCUGGAUUCGCUUGCACGUGGUUUCAUUGAGGUUCUGGGGGAACCAUGCGGCGUAGCUGAACCUUUUCAGUGGAACGGGUGGAUUGGUAACCUAUUCAGUUAUUUCUAUAGGAUUUAUAGGAGUCCCGUGGGGACGUGAUGACCUUAGUUGGGGACAAUUGGAGAAGUGUAAAUAACUAUUUUUAUUUAUAUUGUUUAUUGACCUGGGAGGUGCUGCUUGUAAAGAGAAAUGGCGAAAUUUGCGUGUUGUGUUUAUGAGACACUUGAAACCUUUGCCAAGUGGUUCUAAAAAAAAAGACCGUACUAUUUACUUGAUUAUAUCCAAUUUUUGUCGCCAUAUGUAAAACCAAUUAAUCUGCCCGAAGUAGGGGACCUCCCGUCCACUUCAACAGAGGAUACCGAAAUACAUGCUACCAUUGAUGUGUCAAACGAUGUUCCAGAAGAUUUGGCUACAGAGUCCGAGCAAUCUAAAAAGCCUACCUCUCCCAGUAUACAUAAUAGUACAAUAAUUCAACAUUCUUCCAACUCAAAGCAAAUGAAGUUUUCAUUUCACGAGACAGAUAAGUUUUUCCUCAAUUAUUUAAAAGAAAAAGCUACUAAAUCUUCUACGGAGACUUCCACGGACUCUGUUAUGUCAUUUUUAAACACUCUUGCACCCGAAUUAAGAGAAAUGAAUAUGCACUAGGUCAAAAUAUUCAAAAGACGUGCACUAAGCCUAGUUGAUGAUAUAUUGAAUCCAUCUUCUACUGCGCCUGAAAGUCAAACAAUGAGUGCAUUAACUAAAUUAAGUAGUGAAACGUCCCGGGACACAAUAUAUUCUCCGCAGCCGUAUGGUAGUCCUUCAUUUGUGCAGCCACUGCAGUAAGUACCAACAACUAAUCCUCUGGACUUCAGCGGGGUACGAACACAAAACUUUAUGCAGGCAGUAUCAACAACUAAUCCUUUGGACUUAAGCGGAGUAUCGACAGAAAUCUCAUUAAAUUGUACAGAAUACCCUUCUGUCAGCCAGAACAUGUCGUUAUAACUCAUUUUAUGUUUAAAUAUAAGUAAUAAUAAUUAGAUACCUACUGAUAAAAAUUAGAUUUCGUCAUUUCAAUAUUAUUUUAAUCAUUGAUUUAAAUAAAUAUUUUAAAAUACUUA